RNAcentral lists this ribosomal RNA (253 nucleotides) under uncultured bacterium. Its description in RNAcentral is "partial 16S ribosomal RNA". It matches the Rfam family "Bacterial small subunit ribosomal RNA", at positions 524 to 776 of the family's 1533-position model. The record is from RNAcentral.
UACGUAGGGCGCAAGCGUUGUCCGGAAUUAUUGGGCGUAAAGAGCUCGUAGGCGGUUCGUCGCGUCUGCCGUGAAAGUCCGGGGCUCAACUCCGGAUCUGCGGUGGGUACGGGCAGACUAGAGUGAUGUAGGGGAGACUGGAAUUCCUGGUGUAGCGGUGAAAUGCGCAGAUAUCAGGAGGAACACCGAUGGCGAAGGCAGGUCUCUGGGCAUUAACUGACGCUGAGGAGCGAAAGCAUGGGGAGCGAACAGG